RNAcentral lists this ribosomal RNA (305 nucleotides) under uncultured bacterium. RNAcentral describes it as "bacterial SSU rRNA". It matches the Rfam family "Bacterial small subunit ribosomal RNA", at positions 337 to 640 of the family's 1533-position model. The record is from RNAcentral.
UCCUACGGGGGGCAGCAGUGAGGAAUAUUGGUCAAUGGUCGGGAGACUGAACCAGCCAAGCCGCGUGAGGGAUGAAGGUACAGAGUAUCGUAAACCUCUUUUGUCAGGGAACAAAGGCGGGGACGUGUCCCCGGAUGAGUGUACCUGAAGAAAAAGCAUCGGCUAACUCCGUGCCAGCAGCCGCGGUAAUACGGAGGAUGCGAGCGUUAUCCGGAUUUAUUGGGCUUAAAGGGUGCGCAGGCGGUCUGUUAAGUCAGCGGUCAAAGCCCGGGGCUCAACCCCGGCCCGCCGUUGAAACUGGCAGG